Molecule: ribosomal RNA, 492 nt
Filed under: uncultured bacterium
Lineage: Bacteria
Description: partial 16S ribosomal RNA
Rfam family: Bacterial small subunit ribosomal RNA
Source: RNAcentral
AUUGAACGCUGGCGGCAUGCUUUACACAUGCAAGUCGAACGGUAACAGGCCUUCGGGUGCUGACGAGUGGCGAACGGGUGAGUAAUGCAUCGGAACGUGCCCAGAGGUGGGGGAUAACGCAGCGAAAGCUGUGCUAAUACCGCAUGUGAUCUGAGGAUGAAAGCGGGGGACCAGGCAGCAAUGUUUGGCCUCGCGCCUUUGGAGCGGCCGAUGUCGGAUUAGGUAGUUGGUGGGGUAAAGGCCUACCAAGCCGACGAUCUGUAGCUGGUCUGAGAGGACGACCAGCCACACUGGGACUGAGACACGGCCCAGACUCCUACGGGAGGCAGCAGUGGGGAAUUUUGGACAAUGGGCGAAAGCCUGAUCCAGCAAUGCCGCGUGCGGGAAGAAGGCCUUCGGGUUGUAAACCGCUUUUGUACGGAACGAAAAGGCUCUGGCUAAUACCUGGGGCUGAUGACGGUACCGUAAGAAUAAGCACCGGCUAACUACGUG